AGAGUUUGAUCAUGGCUCAGAUUGAACGCUGGCGGCAGGCCUAACACAUGCAAGUCGAGCGGUAGCACAGAGAGCUUGCUCUCGGGUGACGAGCGGCGGACGGGUGAGUAAUGUCUGGGAAACUGCCUGAUGGAGGGGGAUAACUACUGGAAACGGUAGCUAAUACCGCAUAACGUCGCAAGACCAAAGUGGGGGACCUUCGGGCCUCAUGCCAUCAGAUGUGCCCAGAUGGGAUUAGCUAGUAGGUGGGGUAAUGGCUCACCUAGGCGACGAUCCCUAGCUGGUCUGAGAGGAUGACCAGCCACACUGGAACUGAGACACGGUCCAGACUCCUACGGGAGGCAGCAGUGGGGAAUAUUGCACAAUGGGCGCAAGCCUGAUGCAGCCAUGCCGCGUGUGUGAAGAAGGCCUUCGGGUUGUAAAGCACUUUCAGCGGGGAGGAAGGCGAUAAGGUUAAUAACCUUGUCGAUUGACGUUACCCGCAGAAGAAGCACCGGCUAACUCCGUGCCAGCAGCCGCGGUAAUACGGAGGGUGCAAGCGUUAAUCGGAAUUACUGGGCGUAAAGCGCACGCAGGCGGUCUGUCAAGUCGGAUGUGAAAUCCCCGGGCUCAACCUGGGAACUGCAUUCGAAACUGGCAGGCUAGAGUCUUGUAGAGGGGGGUAGAAUUCCAGGUGUAGCGGUGAAAUGCGUAGAGAUCUGGAGGAAUACCGGUGGCGAAGGCGGCCCCCUGGACAAAGACUGACGCUCAGGUGCGAAAGCGUGGGGAGCAAACAGGAUUAGAUACCCUGGUAGUCCACGCCGUAAACGAUGUCGAUUUGGAGGUUGUGCCCUUGAGGCGUGGCUUCCGGAGCUAACGCGUUAAAUCGACCGCCUGGGGAGUACGGCCGCAAGGUUAAAACUCAAAUGAAUUGACGGGGGCCCGCACAAGCGGUGGAGCAUGUGGUUUAAUUCGAUGCAACGCGAAGAACCUUACCUGGUCUUGACAUCCACAGAACUUAGCAGAGAUGCUUUGGUGCCUUCGGGAACUGUGAGACAGGUGCUGCAUGGCUGUCGUCAGCUCGUGUUGUGAAAUGUUGGGUUAAGUCCCGCAACGAGCGCAACCCUUAUCCUUUGUUGCCAGCGGUCCGGCCGGGAACUCAAAGGAGACUGCCAGUGAUAAACUGGAGGAAGGUGGGGAUGACGUCAAGUCAUCAUGGCCCUUACGACCAGGGCUACACACGUGCUACAAUGGCAUAUACAAAGAGAAGCGACCUCGCGAGAGCAAGCGGACCUCAUAAAGUAUGUCGUAGUCCGGAUUGGAGUCUGCAACUCGACUCCAUGAAGUCGGAAUCGCUAGUAAUCGUAGAUCAGAAUGCUACGGUGAAUACGUUCCCGGGCCUUGUACACACCGCCCGUCACACCAUGGGAGUGGGUUGCAAAAGAAGUAGGUAGCUUAACCUUCGGGAGGGCGCUUACCACUUUGUGAUUCAUGACUGGGGUGAAGUCGUAACAAGGUAACCGUAGGGGAACCUGCGGUUGGAUCACCU
RNAcentral lists this ribosomal RNA (1528 nucleotides) under Klebsiella pneumoniae. Its description in RNAcentral is "bacterial SSU rRNA". It matches the Rfam family "Bacterial small subunit ribosomal RNA". RNAcentral also lists the same sequence under 1 other name. Lineage: Bacteria; Pseudomonadati; Pseudomonadota; Gammaproteobacteria; Enterobacterales; Enterobacteriaceae. The record is from RNAcentral.